UUGCUCUUCAACGAGGAAUGCCUAGUAAGCGCAUGUCAUCAGCAUGCGUUGAUUACGUCCCUGCCCUUUGUACACACCGCCCGUCGCUACUACCGAUUGAAUGGCUCGGUGAGGCCUUCGGACUGGCCCAGGGAGGUCGGCAACGACCACCCAGGGCCGGAAAGUUGGUCAAACCCGGUCAUUUAGAGGAAGUAAAAGUCGUAACAAGGUCUCCGUAGGUGAACCUGCGGAGGGAUCAUUACAAGAACGCCCGGGCUUCGGCCUGGUUAUUCAUAACCCUUUGUUGUCCGACUCUGUUGCCUCCGGGGCGACCCUGCCUUCGGGCGGGGGCUCCGGGUGGACACUUCAAACUCUUGCGUAACUUUGCAGUCUGAGUAAACUUAAUUAAUAAAUUAAAACUUUUAACAACGGAUCUCUUGGUUCUGGCAUCGAUGAAGAACGCAGCGAAAUGCGAUAAGUAAUGUGAAUUGCAGAAUUCAGUGAAUCAUCGAAUCUUUGAACGCACAUUGCGCCCCCUGGUAUUCCGGGGGGCAUGCCUGUUCGAGCGUCAUUUCACCACUCAAGCCUCGCUUGGUAUUGGGCAACGCGGUCCGCCGCGUGCCUCAAAUCGUCCGGCUGGGUCUUCUGUCCCCUAAGCGUUGUGGAAACUAUUCGCUAAAGGGUGUUCGGGAGGCUACGCCGUAAAACAACCCCAUUUCUAAGGUUGACCUCGGAUCAGGUAGGGAUACCCGCUGAACUUAAGCAUAUCAAUAAGCGGAGGA
This 761-nucleotide ribosomal RNA is filed under the name uncultured fungus. Its description in RNAcentral is "eukaryotic LSU rRNA". The stretch from base 1 to 241 matches the Rfam family "Eukaryotic small subunit ribosomal RNA", at positions 1593 to 1831 of the family's 1831-position model. The record is from RNAcentral. Lineage: Eukaryota; Fungi.